UGCCCCAUAGUCUGGGAUACCACUUGGAAACAGGUGCUAAUACCGGAUAAGAAAGCGGAUCGCAUGAUCAGCUUUUAAAAGGCGGCGUAAGCUGUCGCUAUGGGAUGGCCCCGCGGUGCAUUAGCUAGUUGGUAAGGUAAAGGCUUACCAAGGCGAUGAUGCAUAGCCGAGUUGAGAGACUGAUCGGCCACAUUGGGACUGAGACACGGCCCAAACUCCUACGGGAGGCAGCAGCC
This 236-nucleotide ribosomal RNA is filed under the name uncultured Lactobacillus sp. RNAcentral describes it as "partial 16S ribosomal RNA". It matches the Rfam family "Bacterial small subunit ribosomal RNA", at positions 127 to 355 of the family's 1533-position model. The record is from RNAcentral. Lineage: Bacteria; Bacillati; Bacillota; Bacilli; Lactobacillales; Lactobacillaceae.